CGUAGAGAAAUCGAGUCUUAAUAGGGCGUUUAGUUGCUGGGUAUAGACCCGAAACCAGGCGAUCUAUCCAUGAGCAGGUUGAAGGUUGGGUAACACUAACUGGAGGACCGAACCCACUGUCGUUGAAAAGCCAGGGGAUGACUUGUGGAUAGGGGUGAAAGGCUAAUCAAGCCUGGUGAUAGCUGGUUCUCCCCGAAAGCUAUUUAGGUAGCGCCUCGGACGAAUACCAUAGGGGGUAGAGCACUGUUUCGGCUAGGGGGUCAUCCCGACUUACCAAACCGAUGCAAACUCCGAAUACCUAUGAGUACUAUCCGGGAGACAGACUGCGGGUGCUAACGUCCGUAGUCAAGAGGAAAACAAUCCAGACCGCCAGCUAAGGCCCCAAAAUCAUAGUUAAGUGGGAAACGAUGUGGGAAGGCAUAGACAGCUAGGAGGUUGGCUUAGAAGCAGCCACCCUUUAAAGAAAGCGUAAUAGCUCACUAGUCGAGUCGGCCUGCGCGGAAGAUGUAACGGGGCUAAAACUAUGUGCCGAAGCUGCGGAUUUGACAUUAGUCAAGUGGUAGGGGAGCGUUCUGUAAGCCGAUGAAGGUG
Molecule: ribosomal RNA, 591 nt
Filed under: Acinetobacter baumannii
Lineage: Bacteria; Pseudomonadati; Pseudomonadota; Gammaproteobacteria; Moraxellales; Moraxellaceae
Description: partial 23S ribosomal RNA
Rfam family: Bacterial large subunit ribosomal RNA
Source: RNAcentral